AAUACUCAUUGUGGAAUAAUAACAUUUUCAGAUGAAUUUAGCAGAUUUACACGAAAAAUGAAGUAGAACUGAGCUCCGGGACAGUUUUUUAUCUGCUGUAGCAUUUUUUUCUCGUAGUGAAAGUUGC
Small nucleolar RNA from Caenorhabditis elegans, 127 nucleotides. The record is from Ensembl. NCBI's taxonomy places the organism in Eukaryota, Metazoa, Nematoda, Chromadorea, Rhabditida, Rhabditidae.